GCUUGCUCUCGGGUGACGAGCGGCGGACGGGUGAGUAAUGUCUGGGAAACUGCCUGAUGGAGGGGGAUAACUACUGGAAACGGUAGCUAAUACCGCAUAACGUCGCAAGACCAAAGUGGGGGACCUUCGGGCCUCAUGCCAUCAGAUGUGCCCAGAUGGGAUUAGCUAGUAGGUGGGGUAACGGCUCACCUAGGCGACGAUCCCUAGCUGGUCUGAGAGGAUGACCAGCCACACUGGAACUGAGACACGGUCCAGACUCCUACGGGAGGCAGCAGUGGGGAAUAUUGCACAAUGGGCGCAAGCCUGAUGCAGCCAUGCCGCGUGUGUGAAGAAGGCCUUCGGGUUGUAAAGCACUUUCAGCGGGGAGGAAGGCGUUAAGGUUAAUAACCUUGGCGAUUGACG
RNAcentral lists this ribosomal RNA (402 nucleotides) under Klebsiella sp. Its description in RNAcentral is "bacterial SSU rRNA". It matches the Rfam family "Bacterial small subunit ribosomal RNA", at positions 74 to 481 of the family's 1533-position model. Lineage: Bacteria; Pseudomonadati; Pseudomonadota; Gammaproteobacteria; Enterobacterales; Enterobacteriaceae. The record is from RNAcentral.